RNAcentral lists this ribosomal RNA (650 nucleotides) under bacterium. RNAcentral's name for it is "bacterial SSU rRNA". It matches the Rfam family "Bacterial small subunit ribosomal RNA", at positions 60 to 731 of the family's 1533-position model. The record is from RNAcentral.
GACCAACCUGGUACUGUGAGAUGCUGCUCUUACGAGACCUUCGGGUCUAGUGGCGCACGGGUGCGUAACGCGUGGGAAUCUGCCCUUGGGUUCGGAAUAACAGUUAGAAAUGACUGCUAAUACCGGAUGAAGUCUUCGGACCAAAGAUUUAUCGCCCAGGGAUGAGCCCGCGUAGGAUUAGGUAGUUGGUGGGGUAAUGGCCCACCAAGCCGACGAUCCUUAGCUGGUCUGAGAGGAUGAUCAGCCACACUGGGACUGAGACACGGCCCAGACUCCUACGGGAGGCAGCAGUGGGGAAUAUUGGACAAUGGGCGCAAGCCUGAUCCAGCAAUGCCGCGUGAGUGAUGAAGGCCUUAGGGUUGUAAAGCUCUUUUACCAGGGAUGAUAAUGACAGUACCUGGAGAAUAAGCUCCGGCUAACUCCGUGCCAGCAGCCGCGGUAAUACGGAGGGAGCUAGCGUUGUUCGGAAUUACUGGGCGUAAAGCGCACGUAGGCGGCUAUUCAAGUCGGGGGUGAAAGCCCGGGGCUCAACCCCGGAACUGCCCUCGAAACUAGGUAGCUAGAAUCUUGGAGAGGUCAGUGGAAUUCCGAGUGUAGAGGUGAAAUUCGUAGAUAUUCGGAAGAACACCAGUGGCGAAGGCGACUGACUG